UAGAGUUUUCAAACUCCCAACCCAUGUGAACAUACCUAUUGUUGCCUCGGCAGGUCGCAGACUGCCGGGAAAGGUCCCCUACCCUGGGGGCCUACCCGGGAGCUGCGGUCAAGCCUGCCGGCGGCCCGCAAAACUCUGUUUAGCAUUGAAAUUCUGAAUCAUAACUAAAUAAGUUA
Molecule: unclassified non-coding RNA, 176 nt
Filed under: uncultured Ascomycota
Lineage: Eukaryota; Fungi; Ascomycota
Description: sequence contains ITS1
Source: RNAcentral